This 384-nucleotide ribosomal RNA is filed under the name uncultured bacterium. Its description in RNAcentral is "bacterial SSU rRNA". It matches the Rfam family "Bacterial small subunit ribosomal RNA", at positions 29 to 417 of the family's 1533-position model. The record is from RNAcentral.
AUUGAACGCUGGCGGCAUGCCUUACACAUGCAAGUCGAGCGCGAAAGGGGGCAACCCCGAGUAGAGCGGCGGACGGGUGAGUAACACAUCGGAACGUGCCCAGUAGUGGGGGACAACCUCGAGAAAUCGAGGCUAAUACCGCAUACGACCCACGGGUGAAAGCGGGGGACCGCAAGGCCUCGCGCUAUUGGAGCGGCCGAUGUCCGAUUAGCUUGUUGGCGGGGUAAGAGCCCACCAAGGCGACGAUCGGUAGCUGGUCUGAGAGGAUGAUCAGCCACACUGGGACUGAGACACGGCCCAGACUCCUACGGGAGGCAGCAGUGGGGAAUUUUGGACAAUGGGGGCAACCCUGAUCCAGCCAUGCCGCGUGCGGGAAGAAGGCCU